CCUACGGGAGGCAGCAGUGGGGAAUUUUGGACAAUGGGCGAAAGCCUGAUCCAGCGAUGCCGCGUGAGUGAAGAAGGCCUUCGGGUUGUAAAGCUCUUUUGUCAGGGAAGAAACGGUGAGGGCUAAUAUCCCUUGCUAAUGACGGUACCUGAAGAAUAAGCACCGGCUAACUACGUGCCAGCAGCCGCGGUAAUACGUAGGGUGCAAGCGUUAAUCGGAAUUACUGGGCGUAAAGCGUGCGCAGGCGGUUUUGUAAGUCUGUCGUGAAAUCCCCGGGCUCAACCUGGGAAUUGCGAUGGAGACUGCAAGGCUAGAAUCUGGCAGAGGGGGGUAGAAUUCCACGUGUAGCAGUGAAAUGCGUAGAGAUGUGGAGGAACACCGAUGGCGAAGGCAGCCCCCUGGGUCAAGAUUGACGCUCAUGCACGAAAGCGUGGGGAGCAAACAGGAUUAGAUACCCUGGUAGUCCACGCCCUAAACGAUGUCUACUAGUUGUCGGGUUUUAAUUAACUUGGUAACGCAGCUAACGCGUGAAGUAGACCGCCUGGGGAUACGGUCGCAGNUUAAAACGUCAAAGGAAUUGACGGCNGAGAGNGCGAGAGACGACGAGGAGAGG
RNAcentral lists this ribosomal RNA (613 nucleotides) under uncultured bacterium. RNAcentral describes it as "bacterial SSU rRNA". It matches the Rfam family "Bacterial small subunit ribosomal RNA", at positions 338 to 945 of the family's 1533-position model. The record is from RNAcentral.